GAUGAAGAACGUAGCGAAAUGCGAUAAGUAAUGUGAAUUGCAGAAUUUAGUGAAUCAUCGAAUCUUUGAACGCAUAUUGCGCCCGCCAGCACUCUGGCGGGCAUGUCUGUUCGAGCGUCAUUUCAACCCUCAGGCCUCGCGUCUGGCGUUGGGGCGCUGCGGCCCUCCCGCAGGCCCCCAAAUUUAGCGGCGGAUUCCCCGCGGCCCUGAGCGCAGUAGAGAGUAAAAACUUUAACGCUCCGGCGGCCGUGGCGCGGUUCUGCCUCUUUCCCAAUAGCGCCAAUAGCGCCACCCCCAAAAAAGUUGACCUCGGAUCAGGUAGGACUACCCGCUGAACUUAAGCAUAUCAAUAAGCGGAGGA
This 361-nucleotide unclassified non-coding RNA is filed under the name soil metagenome. Its description in RNAcentral is "partial contains 5.8S ribosomal RNA, internal transcribed spacer 2, and large subunit ribosomal RNA". The stretch from base 1 to 120 matches the Rfam family "5.8S ribosomal RNA", at positions 35 to 154 of the family's 154-position model. The record is from RNAcentral.